This 28-nucleotide ribosomal RNA is filed under the name Phytophthora megasperma. RNAcentral describes it as "partial 28S ribosomal RNA". Lineage: Eukaryota; Oomycota; Peronosporomycetes; Peronosporales; Peronosporaceae. The record is from RNAcentral.
UGGACCUAAUAAGAAAGCAAGAGUGUUU